GGAACCUCCACAGUCUAUACAUCCCCAGGUAGCCUGGAUCUGAGCGCCAAACAAAUCCAAAAAGCGCUCAGAUCCCACGAACACAUCCGAAAUGCCACUAGGGUAAAGUUCUGACCCGCCGUACACAUGCCCAUAAAUAAAAUUCUUGCACCAUAGCUUUCUCUACAUUGGUUCCACCACUUAAAUCAUUAUGUUUAAAAUUUAAAAAAUGCAUGCAGUCUGUGCCAGUCACAGCCAGGGGAGGUGUGGCUAGAGCUGCAUGGACAGAAACAAAAGUGGUUUAACUCCUAAAUGGAGUUAAAGGACCGCUAUAGUGCCAGGAAAACAUACUCCGCCGGGCUGGAUGGAGAGGAAGGGGUUAAACGUACCUCUUUCUCCAGCGCCAGGCGGGGAGCUCUCCUCCUCCUCCUCUCCGCCUCCUCUCCUCCUCUUCAGCUGAAUGCGCAUGUGCGGCAUGAGCCGCGCGCGCUUUCAGCCAGUCCAUAGGAAAGCUCAGCACAGACUUCCAGCAAUUGUUUGGGGUUCCAUUGGUGGCUGAAAAGACUGUGGGCCCAACAACUUGUCUCAGUUUCUUAGGCCUGGAUAUUUAUUCGGUGGUGGGGGAAUGUUGUUUACCAUCGGAUAAGCUGGCUGUGCUUCAGGCGAAAGUGAGGGCGGUUCAGAGUGAGUGUAAGGUGACGCUGCGGGAAGUGCAGUCGCUGCUGGGAAGCCUUAGCUUUGCCUGUCGCGUUAUUCCAAUGGGCAGGGUUUACAACCGUUUUCUGGCGAGGGCCACGUGUGGGAUACAAUUAUGUUCGGG
This is a non-coding RNA of Pelobates cultripes (western spadefoot toad), 799 nucleotides long. The record is from the annotation of a GenBank genome assembly. NCBI's taxonomy places the organism in Eukaryota, Metazoa, Chordata, Amphibia, Anura, Pelobatidae.